GGGGAAUAUUGGACAAUGGGCGAAAGCCUGAUCCAGCCAUGCCGCGUGAGUGAUGAAGGCCCUAGGGUUGUAAAGCUCUUUUGUGCGGGAAGAUAAUGACGGUACCGCAAGAAUAAGCCCCGGCUAACUUCGUGCCAGCAGCCGCGGUAAUACGAAGGGGGCUAGCGUUGCUCGGAAUCACUGGGCGUAAAGGGUGCGUAGGCGGGUUUCUAAGUCAGAGGUGAAAGCCUGGAGCUUAACUCCAGAACUGCCUUUGAUACUGGAAGUCUUGAGUUCGGGAGAGGUGAGUGGAACUGCGAGUGUAGAGGUGAAAUUCGUAGAUAUUCGCAAGAACACCAGUGGCGAAGGCGGCUCACUGGCCCGAUACUGACGCUGAGGCACGAAAGCGUGGGGAGCAAACA
This 401-nucleotide ribosomal RNA is filed under the name uncultured bacterium. RNAcentral describes it as "bacterial SSU rRNA". It matches the Rfam family "Bacterial small subunit ribosomal RNA", at positions 356 to 774 of the family's 1533-position model. The record is from RNAcentral.